RNAcentral lists this ribosomal RNA (433 nucleotides) under uncultured bacterium. RNAcentral describes it as "partial 16S ribosomal RNA". It matches the Rfam family "Bacterial small subunit ribosomal RNA", at positions 29 to 507 of the family's 1533-position model. The record is from RNAcentral.
AACGAACGCUGGCGGCAUGCCUAACACAUGCAAGUCGAACGAGACCUUCGGGUCUAGUUGCGCACGGGUGCGUAACGCGUGGGAACCUGCCCUUAGGUUCGGAAUAACUCCCCGACAGGGGUGCUAAUACCGGAUAAUGUCUUCGGACCAAAGAUUUAUCGCCUUUGGAUGGGCCCGCGUUGGAUUAGCUAGUUGGUAGGGUAAAAGCCUACCAAGGCGACGAUCCAUAGCUGGUCUGAGAGGAUGAUCAGCCACACUGGGACUGAGACACGGCCCAGACUCCUACGGGAGGCAGCAGUGGGGAAUAUUGGACAAUGGGCGAAAGCCUGAUCCAGCAAUGCCGCGUGAGUGAUGAAGGCCUUAGGGUUGUAAAGCUCUUUUACCCGGGAUGAUAAUGACAGUACCGGGAGAAUAAGCUCCGGCUAACUCCGUG